Anopheles stephensi (Asian malaria mosquito) is the source of this 820-nucleotide long non-coding RNA. RefSeq lists it as uncharacterized. The transcript is spliced from 2 exons. The record is from RefSeq and is a predicted model, not a curated record. NCBI's taxonomy places the organism in Eukaryota, Metazoa, Arthropoda, Insecta, Diptera, Culicidae.
CCGUCACUCGUGUCCAUCUGCUGGGUCCGCAUCGUUUGCUGUGCCACUGCGCUCCCUUCGUGCCACCAUCGAUUGCAAUUACCACUCAGCGAAAUGAGCAGUUUAAAGCUUUCGGUCCGUCAUUUGCACGCUAGUGGCGGCACGGUCGGUCUGUGUGGCAUUGGAGUUAUUUGCGCAAAUAGCAAGGAAAAAUAGAAUCAUCGUACCCAUCCGUGCCAUCCCAUCCCAUCGUCAUCGCUCUCCCCUUCUCCGCUUGAAAGGAUUGCAAAAGGAUUUGGGGCUCUGUACAGGACGACACUGUCGGCGGACAGGCCGGUGCCUUGCUCGGCACCGGCGCACGGCCGACCAAUGCCCAGGACAGCAGCGCCGACCCGGCCAGGAUGCAAAAUCAGGCCGAACCAGGUGAUGGUCAGCAAAGGCCCUCGGAAAAGUGACAUUAGGCCGCAGUGGGGCGUGAAAUGAUGCAAAUGGGCUUGCUUUGCAUUAUUCGCAUCGUAACCCGAUUCGACAGCAUUAUUUUCCACACACACACUCAGAAGCAGCCACCGUUUUGCAGGUGUGGAAAAUUCUACGAUCGGGGAUGGAAUCUCGGGGAUGGGGUCCGGUCGUUGAACCACACACACGCGGCCUGGUCGAUUGCGGUUCUUUUCUGUGCAACGGGGAAGGGUUUUUCUAGCUAGGGGCUCAGAACUAAACACCAGUAACAACAGGAUCGAUCGAUGGUUCGGUAAUUUGUGUGAAUUACUUCCGGUGAUGAAUUGUUGUUCGGGACAGCGGAUGUGUUUUCGAACAGCUAGGAUGUGUUUUGAUUUAUUUUCAA